RNAcentral lists this long non-coding RNA (960 nucleotides) under Triticum aestivum (bread wheat). Its description in RNAcentral is "long non-coding RNA (TAES_LNC025752)". The record is from RNAcentral. Lineage: Eukaryota; Viridiplantae; Streptophyta; Magnoliopsida; Poales; Poaceae.
GAAUCAUGUAAAAUCCUAAUCACCCUUGUAUUCAAUUUGAUAAACACUUGAACUUCGCGAAUCGACCACUUGUAAGUUUAAUUUUAGAUGUAAAGGAAGAGGGAUGUUCUCCGUGAUCUUCAUCCGUAGAGCCUCCAAUCUAUAAAAUUGGAAGUUUGAAACCCAUCAAAAAAUCACCACAUGAGUUGAAAACAAAAGAAAAACACAUGAAUAGCUUGAACAUAAGUGACCGAACGGACUGGUCAUUAAUCAAAUGUCCAUUGCCACAUCGGGCAAAUGACCAAAUCUUCCUCGCGCUGUCCAUGGUCUGCCUUGCCAGCAACAGGAUACCGCUCUCACCAUCUCCAUUCCCAAGGCCUCCUCCAACCUCCAGGGGCAUGGUCGGCCUGCUCCAAAUCCAUUCACAAGCAAUCAAUAGCAACCAUUCAUAGCAAAACAUGGCCACGACACUCUAGAGUACAAUGGACGCACUUGGGAAUCAACAACAUCAGAACAUGAACAUGACCAUGGUACUAAAUUUAUCCCAAAAUAAUAUCAGAAACACCUGAGUGCAGUUAGUUGUAACCAUGGUACUUCGUGAAUCAACAACAUAUGUACUAAUCACGCAAGAAUGCACCCAUAGGGAAUUGAUAGCAUCUGGACCCAAAAGGAAAGAACACGCAAGAGUACUAAUCUAUAGCAACCAUAACAGGAGGUUACCUUGAUGUGGUGGGCGGCGCAGCUCCGGACGACCGGCAUGGAGGGGCCGAGGGGCCGCUGGGUGGGCCGAGUCCUGCUCGGGGGCGAACAGAGGUGGGCAGAGCACCUCCGGGCGACGGUGGAGAGGACCAUCAAUGGGCGCCAGAGUGGAGGCGGCUAGGAACCCUAGCGUCGCGGUCGGGAAGAUGGAUUAGGUUGCUUCGGCAGGGAGGAGAAGGCGUGCGCAGCAAAGCCAGAGGAUCUGGGAUGGAAGGAUACGGC